GGGCCCAUAGCUCAGCUAGGUAGAGUGCUGGGCUCCAGACCCAGUGGUCCGGGGUUCGAGUCCCCGUGGGCCCA
This 74-nucleotide transfer RNA is filed under the name Acidianus ambivalens. Its description in RNAcentral is "tRNA-Trp". It matches the Rfam family "tRNA". Rfam says of the family: Transfer RNA (tRNA) molecules are approximately 80 nucleotides in length. Their secondary structure includes four short double-helical elements and three loops (D, anti-codon, and T loops). Further hydrogen bonds mediate the characteristic L-shaped molecular structure. tRNAs have two regions of fundamental functional importance: the anti-codon, which is responsible for specific mRNA codon recognition, and the 3' end, to which the tRNAs corresponding amino acid is attached (by aminoacyl-tRNA synthetases). tRNAs cope with the degeneracy of the genetic code in two manners: having more than one tRNA (with a specific anti-codon) for a particular amino acid; and 'wobble' base-pairing, i.e. permitting non-standard base-pairing at the 3rd anti-codon position. RNAcentral also lists the same sequence under 6 other names. The record is from RNAcentral. Lineage: Archaea; Thermoproteati; Thermoproteota; Thermoprotei; Sulfolobales; Sulfolobaceae.